Molecule: small nuclear RNA, 127 nt
Filed under: Neogale vison (American mink)
Lineage: Eukaryota; Metazoa; Chordata; Mammalia; Carnivora; Mustelidae
Description: Neovison vison (American mink) U4 spliceosomal RNA (ENSNVIG00000010771.1)
Rfam family: U4 spliceosomal RNA
About the family: U4 small nuclear RNA (U4 snRNA) is a component of the major U2-dependent spliceosome. The structure of U4 snRNA from yeast and human has been reported. U4 snRNA presents a k-turn RNA motif in the 5p-SL related to recognition of Snu13 protein.
Source: RNAcentral
AGCUUUGCGCAGUGGCAGUAUCGUAGCCAAUGAGGUUUAUCUGAGGCGCGAUUAUUGCUAAUUAAAGUUUCCCUUCCCUACAUCAAACCAAAAAUAUUUUUAGUUAUUUUUUUUGUAGGCUCUACUA